This 374-nucleotide ribosomal RNA is filed under the name uncultured bacterium. Its description in RNAcentral is "bacterial SSU rRNA". It matches the Rfam family "Bacterial small subunit ribosomal RNA", at positions 29 to 419 of the family's 1533-position model. The record is from RNAcentral.
AGCGAACGCCAGCGGGUGGCUUAACACAUGCAAGUCGAGCGGGUGCCUUCGGGCACCAGCGGCGAACGGGUGCGUAACGCGUAGGAACUCUACCUCCUGGUGAGGGAUAACUCGGCGAAAGUCGUGCUAAUACCACAUAUGGCCUACGGGUCAAAGCAGCAAUGCGCCAGAAGAUGAGCCUGCGUCCCAUUAUUUAAUCCUAGUUGGCGGGGUAACGGCCCACCAAGGGUACGAUGGGUAGCUGGUCUGAGAGGACGAUCAGCCACACUGGGACUGAGACACGGCCCAGACUCCUACGGGAGGCAGCAGUGGGGAAUAUUGCGCAAUGGGCGAAAGCCUGACGCAGCCAACCCGCGUGUGUGAUGAAGGCCUCG